CAGUAGCCGCGGGAAUACGAAGGGGGCUAGCGUUGUUCGGAAUUACUGGGCGUAUAGCGCACGUAGGCGGAUAUUUAAGUCAGGGGUGAAAUCCCAGAGCUCAACUCUGGAACUGCCUUUGAUACUGGGUAUCUUGAGUAUGGAAGAGGUGAGUGGAAUUCCGAGUGUAGAGGUGAAAUUCGUAGAUAUUCGGAGGAACACCAGUGGCGAAGGCGGCUCACUGGUCCAUUACUGACGCUGAGGUGCGAAAGCGUGGGGAGCAAACAGGAUUAGAUACCCCCGUAGUCCCUGUCUCUUAUAC
This 301-nucleotide ribosomal RNA is filed under the name uncultured bacterium. Its description in RNAcentral is "partial 16S ribosomal RNA". It matches the Rfam family "Bacterial small subunit ribosomal RNA", at positions 509 to 807 of the family's 1533-position model. The record is from RNAcentral.